CCAAUAGCGUAUAUUAAAGUUGUUGCAGUUAAAAAGCUCGUAGUUGAAUUUCGGGAUCGAAUUGUUGGUCGUGCUUCGGUACGUACUGGCAUUAUUGGUUCCUACCUUCUGAAGAACCGCGAUGUCAUUAAUUUGGUGUCGUGGGGAAUCAGGACUGUUACUUUGAAAAAAUUAGAGUGUUUAAAGCAGGCGCACGCUUGAAUACAUUAGCAUGGAAUAAUGAAAUAGGACGUUUGAUUCUAUUUUGUUGGUUUCUAGGAUCGACGUAAUGAUUAAUAGGGAUAGUUGGGGGCAUUAGUAUUCAAUUGUCAGAGGUGAAAUUCUUGGAUUUAUUGAAGACUAACUACUGCGAAAGCAUUUGCCAAGGAUGUUUUCAUUAAUCAAGAACGAAAGUUAGGGGAUCGAAGACGAUCAGAUACCGUCGUAGUCUUAACCAUAAACUAUGCCGACUAGGGAUCGGAUGAUGUUAAUUUUUUAAUGACUCAUUCGGCGCCUUACG
Molecule: ribosomal RNA, 499 nt
Filed under: uncultured Glomeromycotina
Lineage: Eukaryota; Fungi; Glomeromycota
Description: SSU rRNA
Rfam family: Eukaryotic small subunit ribosomal RNA
Source: RNAcentral